This is a long non-coding RNA of Solanum pennellii, 765 nucleotides long. RefSeq lists it as uncharacterized. The record is from RefSeq and is a predicted model, not a curated record. The transcript is spliced from 2 exons. Lineage: Eukaryota; Viridiplantae; Streptophyta; Magnoliopsida; Solanales; Solanaceae.
CAAUUUUGAAGACAAAUUACCACUGAUUGGCUCAGUAACAAUGGAGGAGUGGUGAUGCGAAUGGUAUCGAGAGUAGAGAAAAUGAUGAUGCAGAGCUUUGUGUAGCCAAUAAUAGAGGAACUCUACAGGACCAAUAUGAAGCAAGGCUGUUAUAACGAUCCCAUCGGUCCUCCACAUAGGCAUGUGAUGAGCUUGUUCCAGAAUCAGAUCCCUUGUAUCUACAAAAAGUGAAAAAUGAAGGUACAUACCAGUUGCUUUCUCUGUCAACUUGAUCAAAUUCGAUGCUUUUAUCAAGAAUUCGAUUGUUCCCCUUUGCAGUCCUGUAGCGGGAUAAAGAUAUCCAUGUCUGGUAGUGAACCAUUCUGAAGAGAGUUAAUGGGAGUAGGAGUAUGUAGAACAUGUCCCUCUCACUUUCAUCUUUGCUCAUGAAGAAUGUGUAUAUGCUGUGACACGCAAAUGGUGCCAAUACCAAGUACUUCAUCAUCCCAACAAAUCAUUUUUGAAAAAUAAAAAAAUGUUAGCACAAGUGACGUUGUAAUAUGUACGUGGUACGUUUAUUAUAGAGUUGCAUUAAGCUAACUAGUGAUAUCUUUUUGCCAUAAAUGAUAGUAGAAAAGAAUAUAUGUGGAUUCUGAUAAUUGUUAGUGUGUACCAUUACUAGAGUAAUCAUAUUGGAUCCAUGAUCUUUAAGUUUAUGGAUUCUGAUAUUUGUUAAUGUACAUAUUUACUGGAUUUCUUAAUAAAUAUACUAAAGUUUGGAUCAAA